Long non-coding RNA from Peromyscus leucopus (white-footed mouse), 411 nucleotides. RefSeq lists it as uncharacterized. The transcript is spliced from 3 exons. Lineage: Eukaryota; Metazoa; Chordata; Mammalia; Rodentia; Cricetidae. The record is from RefSeq and is a predicted model, not a curated record.
UUGCAGAUGCAUAUUGUAACUGGAGGAAAGGAGGCUUCAGAACCGAAGUGCUGGAUUCAAGGCUGAGAGCUGCCACCCAGCAGUUUCCCUCGCCUUGAUGGAAGGAAACCAAAUCAACAUAAUGUCUUGACAAUGCCUAGUCAAAGAUGCAGAGAAAGGAAAGUCACAAAACAACAAACAGAAUUCACCAAGUGUUUGAUGAGCAAUCGUAUGCCUGGCGUAUUCACUCACUGCUCCACGCCUGUUGAGCAGGUGCUCCAUUCAGUCUCCAUUCCACAAUUAAGGAGACAGAUCAAUGAAUACUUUGGGCUAGCUGAGAACAGCACAAAAUCGGAGCUAGCAGUAUACUCUGGCAAGACAAGUGUCGUUUCAUUUAUAUUUUAAGGUUGGUGUUCGUUUUCAUUCAAGUAU